CCUACGGGAGGCAGCAGUGAGGAAUAUUGGUCAAUGGACGCAAGUCUGAACCAGCCAUGCCGCGUGCAGGAAGACGGCUCUAUGAGUUGUAAACUGCUUUUGUACGAGGGUAAACGCAGAUACGCGUAUCUGUCUGAAAGUACUGUACGCAUAAGGAUCGGCUAACUCCGUGCCAGCAGCCGCGGGAAUUCGGAGGAUUCUAGCGUUAUCCGGAUUUUAUGGGGUUAAAGGGUGCGUAGGCUGUCGGAUAAGUUAGAGGUGAAAUCCCGAGGCUCAACUUCGGAAAUGCCUCUGAUACUGUUCGGCUAGAGAGUAGUUGCGGUAGGCGGAAUGUAUGGUGUAGCGGUGAAAUGCUUAGAGAUCAUACAGAACACCGAUUGCGAAGGCAGCUUACCAAGCUACUUCUGACGUUGAGGCACGAAAGCGUGGGGAGCAAACAGGAUUAGAUACCCCAGUAGUC
RNAcentral lists this ribosomal RNA (460 nucleotides) under uncultured bacterium. Its description in RNAcentral is "partial 16S ribosomal RNA". It matches the Rfam family "Bacterial small subunit ribosomal RNA", at positions 338 to 795 of the family's 1533-position model. The record is from RNAcentral.